RNAcentral lists this long non-coding RNA (451 nucleotides) under Citrus sinensis (sweet orange). Its description in RNAcentral is "long non-coding RNA (CSIN_LNC001106)". Lineage: Eukaryota; Viridiplantae; Streptophyta; Magnoliopsida; Sapindales; Rutaceae. The record is from RNAcentral.
CUUUCUCUUAUUAAGACAUGUAGAACCUUGGGACUUGGAUGGCCAAGUCGUUUAUGCCAGACGUCUGAAUUGGCAGCAUCUCCUCUUAUUGCAGCAAAUGUUAAUUAUUUAUUUUCUUCUAAGGCAUAUAGGUUGCCCUUUUUAAGCCCCCUUGCUAGGACCUGCUUCUCCUGAUUCUUAACAACAAAGCCAUCAGAGUUAAACUCAAAAGAACAUUUAUUAUCCUUAAUAAGUUGUCCAACAGAUAAUAAAUUUUUCUUUAAUUUAGGGACAACCAACACAUUAUUUAGUUUCAAUUUCCCAUAAUCAGUAUUUAGAGAUGCAUUACCAACAUGUGUAAUAUGAAGACCUUGACCAUUUCCCACAAAUCUUUUAUCAUUACCUUUGUAGAGAACUGGUUUGUCAAUAUUACCUUUGUUAUUUGUCAUAUGAGAGGUUGCACCCCAAUCUG